UGUCAGAAAGGACAUCCGGCGUUGAAUUCUCUGCCAAACCAUUUGUAUGAAUCAAUGAAAGCUGCUUCACUGUGGCGACCCCUGAAGGGAUAUGCUAAAAGGUGUACAACAACAACAACAUUUGCAUUUAUUCCAGAGAAAAACCCAUUCAGCUAUCUGUGAAAACAUCCAGUGCGAUUUAACUACUUGAGUGAUUCCAAUUGUGUGAGUCAGAUAUGACAUGAUCAUCAUUCCACCCAUAGGUCUGGGGCUCCAAACAAGACUUGAUGGGGUGGGGUUUUCCUGAUCACGAGAACAGUGAGAAAUCAGCCUAAAACACAGCAGGAGUUGGUUGAUGAUGUCAAAGCAGCUGGAACCACAGUCACCAAGAAAACCACAGUAAUACUUUGCACCGCAAUGAUUUAACAUCUUGUAAAGUCCCCCUGCUAAAGAAGGCACAUGUGCAGGCCUGCCUCAACUUUGCAAAUGAACACCUUCAUGAGUUAAAGAGUGAUUGGGAGAAGGAGCUAUGGUCAGAUCAGACCUACAUGGAGCUCUUUGGCUUCAACUCAACCCGCCGUGUUUAGAGGAAGAGAAAUGCUGAUGGUGUUCAAUUAUGUUGCAAGAACACCAACCCCCACGGUCAAGCACGGAAGUGAAAACAUCAUGCCUGGGGGGGGGGGGUUGCAUAAUGCUACUUCACCGUGUGGAUGGGAGGAUGGGCAGAGCCAUGUACCAUCAAGUCCUGAGUAAGAACCUCCUUCCCUCCUUAAGCCAGGAGGCUUAAAACGUGUUGUGGGUUGGUCUUCCAACAGGAUAAUGACCCAAAUUAAACAGCCAAGGCAACCAAGGAAUGACUGAAGAAGGAGCAUAUCAAGGUCAUGGAGCGGCCCGGGCAGUCUCCGGACUUCAAUCCUAUAGAAACUAUAUAGAGAGAGCUACAGCUCAGAGUUUCCAAGCAACAGCAACCAAAUCACUCUUCUUUGCAACUGAUUUAGAAAUCUUGCAGAGAAGAGUGGACCAGAAUUCCUCCUUAAAAGUGCAGAAAACUGGACAUCAACCACAAGAACAGUCUGUCCUCUGUUCUGCUAAUAAGUGUUUUGCCACAAAGUAAGUAAGUCUUUCUGGCAAGAGGGUUCAAGUACUUAUUUCCUUCACUGUACGAGUGUCUAGCUGUUCUGUUUCUGAUCCAUGAAAUGAAAGCAAAACAACCAUGAGUGCAACACGAAAUUACUCAUCAUAAGAAAGACUUUCCAGGAUUUAAAUCAAAUAUGUGAGCUAAUGAAGACCUGAGGGAAUUGCAAUGUGAGUAGAAAACACAAUAAUUACAAUUUGAUUUGUCAAAGUGUGACAUGUCAUCAGAUUAUAAAGUGUCUGAUUAUCUACCCUUAUUUUGUGUGCACUUAGUCUUAGUUACAUUGACAAAAUGCACUAUCUGAUGUUGUCAAUCAUCUAGGGUUUAGUUUAUCUAUGUUUCAGACUCAAAAGGGACCACAUGUAUUCUUUAUUUUGACCUGCUAAACAAAACUUUCAGACCUUUUUUGUUUUUCUACCACUGCUGCCUUUAUUUACAACUAUCAGUUGGCAGACAAGGCUUAAAAUAUCCUGUUCCUCUUCCUUGUUUAACUCUCAUUUGCAUGCAUGUGAAUGAACAAAGUGGUUUGUGUCAGCGAGUGCAUGACAAAAAGCAACCGUGAACUUCGGAAAAUCCCUUUCAGUAUGUUUAGGUGGAGUUGCCAUGGUCACACUUGCAACACUUCAUUGAAAUAUGGGAAGGAACAUACCUAAAGCAAUGUUUUUCUGUUACCAAAAAGUUUUAUUAACAGGUUCUGGUUAGAGACUUCCGCGUAUCUCACCCUGACUCAUCAGACUCCUAUCUGGACUCAAGGCCACGCUCAUGCCAACACUCUGUCUGCUGUUUUCUAUUUAGAACCCGUAGGGUGUUGUGGCUUGUUCGUGUGUGUCUGAGUGAGAGUGCGGGCGUGUGGGUGUUUGCGUUGUGUGUGUAGGAGUAACAGCAAGAGCCUUGAAAAUCCAACUGCUAAUACUACCCACAGCUGCUUGGGACACCGGGGAGAGUGUGUGUGCCUUGGUGUGUUACAGAUAACACAACCUUUUGUACAAUUACAUCCAGUUAGUCAUAAUUAUUAAAAGAUUGGCAGCAAAAAUAUUUGAAAACAAGAUCCAGAUUGAAGCGGUGAAAAGCAGUUUACAUUUCUUAGACAUUUGAUCUUUUUUUUUAGUUUAAAACAAAUUAAAAUGAAACAACAUUGUAAAACUAUAUCAUUUCUAUGAGUACUAUUAACAACUUCACUCAGAAUAUCAUGUGCUUCAUGCUUUUUCCAGAUAAGUGGUUGGGUGUGCCACCUGGUGGACAUAAUGAGUUCCUCUUAUAAGCCUGUAUAUGAAAGUUUUUUCACACAUACUGUAAUUUAAAGUGGUAUUCCAUUCUAAAUUGCAAAAUGUAUUUUAAAUUGCAUGAUUAAAUUUUUAAUUCAAUUGUCAA
Oryzias latipes (Japanese medaka) is the source of this 2485-nucleotide non-coding RNA. The record is from RefSeq and is a predicted model, not a curated record. Lineage: Eukaryota; Metazoa; Chordata; Actinopteri; Beloniformes; Adrianichthyidae.